AUUGAACGCUGGCGGCAGGCCUAACACAUGCAAGUCGAGCGGAUGAAGGGAGCUUGCUCCUGGUUUUAGCGGCGGACGGGUGUGUAAUGCCUAGGAAUCUGCUUGGUAGUGGGGGAUAACGUCUGGAAACGGGUGCUAAUACUGCAUACGUCCUGAGGGUGCAAGUGGGGGAUCUUCGGACCUCUCGCUAUCAGAGGAGUCUAGGUCGGACUAGCUAGCUGGUGGGGUAAAGGCUUACCAAGGCGAGGAUCCGUAACUGGUCUGAGGGGAGGAUCAGUCACAGUGAAGGUGAGAGGCGAUCCAGGGUCCGAGGUAAGGCAGCGAGGGGAAUGUUGGACAAUGGUCGGAAACCUUGUCCAGCCGUGCCGCGUGUGUUGAAGAAGUCUUCGGAUUGUGAAGCACGUUAAGUUGGUGUAAAGGGCAGUAAGUUGAUACCAUGCUGUUUUGACGUUACCAACAAAAUAAGCACCGGCUAACUUCGUG
RNAcentral lists this ribosomal RNA (483 nucleotides) under uncultured bacterium. RNAcentral describes it as "partial 16S ribosomal RNA". It matches the Rfam family "Bacterial small subunit ribosomal RNA", at positions 30 to 507 of the family's 1533-position model. The record is from RNAcentral.